Molecule: long non-coding RNA, 1707 nt
Organism: Anopheles gambiae (African malaria mosquito)
Lineage: Eukaryota; Metazoa; Arthropoda; Insecta; Diptera; Culicidae
Exons: 2
Source: RefSeq, a predicted model, not a curated record
UCCGCAUAAAGGAGAUGACCAUCAGGAGGUAAAACAUUACAAACAUCAUUGAUGAACAAAGAAAACAGAAGUGGACUUAGCACACAACCCUGAGGGACACCUGACGUACAAAAAAACUCCUCAGAUAAGUACGACCCGGUUUUAACCCUGCAUGAUCGAUUACUUAAAUAUGAGGACAGCCAGCUAAUAAUGCCAUCACCAAAACCAAGUUUAGACAAUUUAGCUAAUAAUAAAGAGUGAGGCAAACUAUCAAAAGCAGCAUGAAAGUCGGUGUAUAUUGCAUCAAGUUGGGUACCGGCCUCAAAAGAUCUAAAAAUAUUGGAAAUAAAAGACAUGAGAUUAGUUGAAGUAGACCUACCAGGCAUAAACCCAUGCUGUUUAGGGCUAAUAGCUGAACUACAACUAUGAAGUAUGGUUGGAAGGAUACAUAGCUCAAAAGUUUUGGCUGUGGCGCAAGUUUGGGUUAUCCCACGAUAAUUAGACACAAUGCUACGGCAUCCCUUUUUGUGUACCGGAAAAAGCCAACAGGAUUUCCAAAGAGCAGGAAAAACCCCAAGAGAAAGUGAAAGGUUGAAAAUUUUAGCAAGGUGUGGAGCAAGCACGUCCUUACAGUUUAUUAAAACAGAGGCUGGAAUGCCAUCUGGACCAGGAGUAAAAGAAUGUUUCAACCCAAAUAACACCUGUACAACUGUUUCAGAGCUAAUCGAAAUAUCGGAGAGAUUAAUUAAGUUCUCUGGCGUGUAGAGUAGCCCACCCUCAAUAAGGUUAGGGUCACUAACCGGUGGCUCAAACAUUUGGUAAAAAUGCGCAGAGAAUAGCUCACAGAUCUCAACAGGCGUAGAGGCAGUUCGAGAAUCAAGUACCAUUUCAUUAGGUAACGUAUUGCACCCUCUUCGAAUCCUAACAAAUUGCCAGAAGGAUGCUGGAUCAGAACGGAAACGCGAUUGCAGUCUACUCGAAUAGGCCUCAAAACAAGCCCUGUUGUAUAGUCGAUGCGCAGAGGCAGCGUACUUAAAUAAACGAAAGUUGAAAGCAGAUCGGUUCAGACGAUACCUCCUAAGAUAUUUCAUUCUAUCCUUUUUCAGGUUGCGAAGAGUACGAUUGGACCAGGGAGGAUUAGGAGGGGAACGAAAAAUAGGUGUACAUGAAAGGAGUGCAGAGGUUAACAAAGCAUUAAACGAUUGGACAGCCUCGUCGACCGAUGUACAUUGAUAAAAAAAAGACCAGUCGGAACGAGAUAGAAUUGAAUUAAGUUUACGAUAGUCUGUGAGCCGAAAAUUAUAACGAACUCUCAAUGAAUUAGGAGCAGAAGAGCAGGAUGAUGGGCAUCCUGGGGCAGGAGCAGUGACGAAGCAGGAUACACAGAACAACAAGCAGCUGCAGCAGAGUUGGAGAGCACCAGGUCCAAAUAAUGAUUUAAAUGGUUAUGCACCCCGUUCAGCUGAUAGAGUUCAUGCAGGUUUAACAUAUCCAAAAAGCAGGAACUGGAUGUAUUCGAAGAAAUAUGUGGCACAUAAUGUCUUAUAGCUGAAGAUGAAUCUGGCCUUACUGCGGUAGAAAGCGACCACUCUAACGCAGGUUGAUUGAAGUCACCCAGAAGGAUAAGAUGAUCAUUCGGUUUCAUUUGCAUGUAUGCAUCACUGAUGAAAGCAGAAAGGGAUUCCAAAUAGUUGCGGUCGCUGCUCAAAUACGGUGGCACAUAAACAA